This 77-nucleotide transfer RNA is filed under the name Methylosinus sp. Its description in RNAcentral is "tRNA-Arg". It matches the Rfam family "tRNA". Rfam says of the family: Transfer RNA (tRNA) molecules are approximately 80 nucleotides in length. The record is from RNAcentral. RNAcentral also lists the same sequence under 13 other names. Lineage: Bacteria; Pseudomonadati; Pseudomonadota; Alphaproteobacteria; Hyphomicrobiales; Methylocystaceae.
GCGCCCGUAGCUCAGCUGGAUAGAGCGCUGCCCUCCGAAGGCAGAGGUCAGAGGUUCGAAUCCUCUCGGGCGCGCCA